Molecule: long non-coding RNA, 317 nt
Organism: Malaclemys terrapin pileata
Lineage: Eukaryota; Metazoa; Chordata; Testudines; Emydidae
Exons: 3
Source: RefSeq, a predicted model, not a curated record
CGGGGCUUCGCGUUCCAGGCGGGACAGUCAUUGUCUACCUACAUUUAAACAGCUGUAACCCCGCCCCAAGCACUGGCUCUGUACGCCCAUUGUCCAGGAACCGGCCAAUGGGGGCGGGGGUGCCUGCGGGCCAGACCUGCUGCUGGCCGCUUCCGGGGUGCAGCACAGUCCGCGGUGCCAGGACAAGCAAGAAGCCUACCUUAGCCCCCCAGCUGACUGGGAGCCACCUGAGGAAGCCCUGCAGUUACCUUUGACAACAGACGCAGCAUUGUCAGAUGGAGAUGCAAUUUGAGAUGAGUCACUCUCAGAGCUUCUUU